RNAcentral lists this long non-coding RNA (973 nucleotides) under Nicotiana benthamiana. RNAcentral's name for it is "long non-coding RNA (NBEN_LNC005649)". Lineage: Eukaryota; Viridiplantae; Streptophyta; Magnoliopsida; Solanales; Solanaceae. The record is from RNAcentral.
UGAAGAGGGUGAAACGUUUGGCUAGCUCUUGCUGGAUGUAAUUGGACAGCAGACGCAUCAAUAAUACAUCUAUCCCCUCCAUUUCUGCUUUACUAGGACAGAAGGAGCUCUUUGUUGUUCAUUUGCAGGUCAGUACCAACAAUAAGCACAAAAUAUUUACUAAAAUAAAAAAAUAGCGAAAAAAUAAAAUAGAUAAAAAAUGAACAGAAAGAAAACUAAACCUAGAGCUCAAUACUGAUGCUGGUGACGGAGAAAACUGACGAGAUGCAAGAUUGAGACAGAAAGCAAGCAUCAACAACCAAGAAAAUCGAAACAUAGGGUAGAGCUCAAUACUGAUGCAGGUGACGGAGAAAACUAACGAGAUGCAAUAUUGAGCCAGAAAGCAAGCAUCAACAACCAAGAAAAAUCGAAACAUAGGGUUAAGAGAUAGAGAAAGAUCGACGGAGAGACAAAGAGAUAGUGAUAUAGAGAGAUAAGUCGGAUUACCUGGUGAUGGUUGUCGGUCGUGGUGAUGCCGCAACCGAUGGCGGGAUAUAUAUCAAAUUGGGAAAUAGUUCAAUUUGGGUGUCUGUUCUAGGUUCACAAUUUUGUAAAGGUAAAUCUGAGGAUACCAGAUGCUAAAAUCUUCCUUCAGUUUGCCUUCCUCACCAAAGAGAAUAACAUGUUGACAAUGAAGCCCAGGUGAAUCCGUUACAAACACAAAAAUACCACCACAAAAUCUAAUCCAGUAAAGAUUACACCUAAUGAAAUGAAAACCAAAGAGGCAAUUUGUUGAGUCUAGUAAGGAUGGUACCUUAAACAGACCAUCAUAGAGAUGCAGCCCAAUCAAUCUGCGGAGGAGUGAAGGAUAGAUGGAAGUAAAGGAGUUUUUUGAUAGAGAGGAGAGAGUAUUUUGCCCUAAUUGUUAUAAUGUAGUCUUUUAACCUAUUUAAUUCUUUCAGACGGAAAUAGCGACGGAAUUAGCGAGCGAACU